GCUCACUCAGAGAAGACCUGAUAUUCAAGGAAAAGUCAGCCAAAAACCAGCUACCAGGAGGCAGCCUGAACGUGUCAGGGCCUGGGCACGACACUUGCCUUUCUUGGAGGAGUGAUUUGAAGCCAUAGUGGAAGACUGAGCCUCUAUAAAAAAUGAACGAGGACACUCUUAAUGGACAGAUACAAAACAAGCCCCAGGAGAAAGGUGUAUCAACCAUUUUAAAUCUGCCCUCAAAAGCACAGAACAAAUCAGACAGCAUUUUGCUCACAGAGGAGAGGGUGUAUGAGAACCAAAUUCCAGCUUCAGCACAUGGCCUUGGGUACAGCUACAAGAUGGAGGAAGCUAUUUGACCUGCAUCAGACUUUACGUGAACAAAAGGGUGUUGUUAUGUCCAAAGCCAUCUUGCCAUGCGCAGCCUGAGAAUGGAGCCAAUGACUGAGGGUGGCAGAGCAGAAAGAUGAGAUAAAUGGUACGAGGCUGAUAUGGGAGCAUCCAUCACUGACUACCAGGUUGCUACUCCCAGCUCCUGUCUUCACAUCUGCAUACCAACCAGUAAGAAGAGGAGAAGGAGCAAGGAGAGCACAUAACUUUCCUUUUAAGGACACAACUAGAUCUCAACUGUUGAGAGGAAACCAUACUGUCUGUCAUUAGCAAUUUUGCAAAAACAGCCUGUGAAUGCAUAUUAGCAUCACCUGAUUACUGAGCGCCCAGAGGCUCCGUCUCUCUGUACCCGGAUACAACACAGGAGGGAAAUGAUGUGGUUCCUGUCCUCAGAAACUCCUGGUCAAAGAAGGUUCCUGUGUCAGGAAGAAAAAACGCCAUUAGUAGAAUUUCUGAGCUGGAAAUGAGCAGGCUAGAGGUGGAGAGGAGCUGCAGCUACAGUCUGCACUAGAACCACCCCGUUGCCCCAUCUGGUUUCCAUGGAGUCAGACUUCUGAUGAGGAAGCUGGUCCUCCGGAAUGUGCAGAACGCAAGACACCCAGGCAAAGUGUCUUUAAGGGUAGGGACUGUUCAUUAUGGCUAUGGGAUGACCACAGAUUUCUUUCGUGUUAUCUGUUAGAAUGCUUUUGAUUGCUAGUAGCUGAAAGCUGUGACUUAAUUUGGCUUUACAAAUAAGGAAAUGUAUUAUCUCACAUAACUGGAAGUCCAGAGGUAGGACAGGCUCCAGGGACAGUAAGA
RNAcentral lists this long non-coding RNA (1179 nucleotides) under Homo sapiens (human). RNAcentral describes it as "HSALNT0376294". The record is from RNAcentral. Lineage: Eukaryota; Metazoa; Chordata; Mammalia; Primates; Hominidae.